RNAcentral lists this ribosomal RNA (255 nucleotides) under uncultured prokaryote. RNAcentral describes it as "partial 16S ribosomal RNA". It matches the Rfam family "Bacterial small subunit ribosomal RNA", at positions 523 to 777 of the family's 1533-position model. The record is from RNAcentral.
AGACAGAGGUGCCAAGCGUUAGGCGGAAUCACUGGGCUUAAAGCGUGUGUAGGCGGACUUCUAAGUACCUUGUGAAAUCCCACGGCUCAACCGUGGAACUGCUUGGUAUACUGGUUGUCUUGAGCCACUUAGGGGCUACCGGAACAAAUGGUGGAGCGGUGAAAUGCGUAGAUAUCAUUUGGAACGCCAAUGGUGAAAACAGGUAGCUGGGAGUGUGCUGACGCUGAGACACGAAAGCCAGGGGAGCGAACGGGA